Molecule: non-coding RNA, 355 nt
Filed under: Oxalobacteraceae bacterium IMCC9480
Lineage: Bacteria; Pseudomonadati; Pseudomonadota; Betaproteobacteria; Burkholderiales; Oxalobacteraceae
Description: Bacterial small subunit ribosomal RNA
Rfam family: Bacterial small subunit ribosomal RNA
Source: Rfam by way of RNAcentral
UAAUGAGACUGCCGGUGACAAACCGGAGGAAGGUGGGGAUGACGUCAAGUCCUCAUGGCCCUUAUGGGUAGGGCUUCACACGUCAUACAAUGGUACAUAAAGAGGGCCGCCAACCCGCGAGGGGGAGCUAAUCCCAGAAAGUGUAUCGUAGUCCGGAUUGUAGUCUGCAACUCGACUGCAUGAAGUUGGAAUCGCUAGUAAUCGCGGAUCAGCAUGUCGCGGUGAAUACGUUCCCGGGUCUUGUACACACCGCCCGUCACACCAUGGGAGCGGGUUUCACCAGAAGUAGGUAGCUUAACCGCAAGGAGGGCGCUUACCACGGUGGGAUUCGUGACUGGGGUGAAGUCGUAACAAG